GGCGGCCGUAACUAUAACGGUCCUAAGGUAGCGAAAUUCCUUGUCGGGUAAGUUCCGACCUGCACGAAUGGCGUAAUGAUGGCCAGGCUGUCUCCACCCGAGACUCAGUGAAAUUGAACUCGCUGUGAAGAUGCAGUGUACCCGCGGCAAGACGGAAAGACCCCGUGAACCUUUACUAUAGCUUGACACUGAACAUUGAGCCUUGAUGUGUAGGAUAGGUGGGAGGCUUUGAAGUGUGGACGCCAGUCUGCAUGGAGCCGACCUUGAAAUACCACCCUUUAAUGUUUGAUGUUCUAACGUGGACCCGUGAUCCGGGUUGCGGACAGUGUCUGGUGGGUAGUUUGACUGGGGCGGUCUCCUCCUAAAGAGUAACGGAGGAGCACGAAGGUUGGCUAAUCCUGGUCGGACAUCAGGAGGUUAGUGCAAUGGCAUAAGCCAGCUUGACUGCGAGCGUGACGGCGCGAGCAGGUGCGAAAGCAGGUCAUAGUGAUCCGGUGGUUCUGAAUGGAAGGGCCAUCGCUCAACGGAUAAAAGGUACUCCGGGGAUAACAGGCUGAUACCGCCCAAGAGUUCAUAUCGACGGCGGUGUUUGGCACCUCGAUGUCGGCUCAUCACAUCCUGGGGCUGAAGUAGGUCCCAAGGGUAUGGCUGUUCGCCAUUUAAAGUGGUACGCGAGCUGGGUUUAGAACGUCGUGAGACAGUUCGGUCCCUAUCUGCCGUGGGCGCUGGAGAACUGAGGGGGGCUGCUCCUAGUACGAGAGGACCGGAGUGGACGCAUCACUGGUGUUCGGGUUGUCAUGCCAAUGGCACUGCCCGGUAGCUAAAUGCGGAAGAGAUAAGUGCUGAAAGCAUCUAAGCACGAAACUUGCCCCGAGAUGAGUUCUCCCUGAGACUUUAAGUCUCCUGAAGGAACGUUGAAGACGACGACGUUGAUAGGCCGGGUGUGUAAGCGCAGCGAUGCGUUGAGCUAACCGGUACUAAUGAACCGUGAGGCUUAACCUUACA
Molecule: ribosomal RNA, 1005 nt
Filed under: Salmonella enterica
Lineage: Bacteria; Pseudomonadati; Pseudomonadota; Gammaproteobacteria; Enterobacterales; Enterobacteriaceae
Description: partial 23S ribosomal RNA
Rfam family: Bacterial large subunit ribosomal RNA
Source: RNAcentral